UGCUGGCUCAUUAAAGGUGGAGAACCACUGCUUUACAGCUUAGAACACUCACUUACUAGCUAUGACGAAAUGUCUAAUUGUUUAUUUCCUCAGGCUGUAAGAAUUUGGCCCGGAGUCAAGCAGGUCUUGCAGCAUAGCAGGAAACGACACUGGAUUGACGGGACUGAGAGCCUCGUGUUUUCAUAGCGCCGAAACUCCACGAGUAGGCUGUUUGUUUGGGGCGUUGAAGAAAACACGUGGGAGAAAUAUACAUAUAUAUAGAGGAGUUCGAGGACAUGGAGCGGCGCUUUUAAACUGUCCGUUAUGGAGGUGGCAAACGAAGAGGCAGCCUGUAAAGUCUACGCAGUUUUAAUGGAGCCCGAGCCCGAGACCGUGAGCCGUUUGAGGACAAAGUACUACUCACUGCGGCGACAGGAAAACGGAACUAAGGAGGCAUCUAAAUUUGAAAUGCAGCAUCAAGAUUUUGAAUCGCAUAGCAGAGAAGAAAUUACCCCGACACAAAGAGACGCAUCUUUCAUUCGCCUGACAGGUAAGAAGUAAUACACUGAGUGCAUUAAGAUGUAAUGCAAAAGUAGAAAUGAAUACAAA
Molecule: long non-coding RNA, 588 nt
Filed under: Sinocyclocheilus anshuiensis
Lineage: Eukaryota; Metazoa; Chordata; Actinopteri; Cypriniformes; Cyprinidae
Description: lncRNA (ENSSANG00000034114.1)
Source: RNAcentral